This 154-nucleotide unclassified non-coding RNA is filed under the name uncultured Hypocreales. Its description in RNAcentral is "sequence contains ITS1". The record is from RNAcentral. Lineage: Eukaryota; Fungi; Ascomycota; Sordariomycetes; Hypocreales.
UCGAGUUACACAACUCCCAACCCUAUGUGAACCUUACCACUGUUGCUUCGGCGGAUCCGCCCCGGUGCCAACGGCCCGGAACCAGGCGCCCGCCGGGGACCCAAACCUCUGUACCAUGCAAGUCUUCUGAGUGGCGUACGCGCAAAUCAAAACA